CUUUCCUAUAACUUGACAUUGGGUCAUGUUUUAAAAUGUGCAGGAUAGGUGGGAGACAAUGAGAUAGAAACGCUAGUUUUUAUGGAGUCGUCCUUGAGAUACCACCCUUUUUAAAAUGUGACUCUAACUCCAAUUUGGAGAACAGUGUUUGGUGGGUAGUUUAACUGGGGCGGUUGCCUCCUAAAAUGUAACGGAGGCGCGCAAUGGUUGACUAGCAUCGGAUGGAAAUCGGUGCGAUAGUGUAUUCGCAUAAGUCAGCCUGACUGAAAGACCUACAAGUCGAUCAGACACGAAAGUGGGCGAAAGUGAUCCGGCAUCUAAGAAUGGAAUUGAUGUCGCUCAACGGAUAAAAGUUA
This 356-nucleotide ribosomal RNA is filed under the name uncultured organism. Its description in RNAcentral is "bacterial LSU rRNA". It matches the Rfam family "Bacterial large subunit ribosomal RNA", at positions 2099 to 2465 of the family's 2925-position model. The record is from RNAcentral.